AUUAUUUUAUAAUGCACUAGCAGCUCUUGGAGCUGAUGCGUGCAUAUCACUGCACUUAUGUUCUCUCUACUUUAGUUUUUAAAUGUUCAUCCAGUCUGUUUUUAAAAGUGUUUACUGAUGGUGCACCAAUCACUGAUUCUGGGAGCUUGUUCCAUUGGGUAACUACGCGAUUUGGCAAAAAGUGACAUCUGGGUUUGCUAUAGCAAGGAGAUCUUGUAAGUUUUUGAGAAUGUCCUCUUAAUUUUGGAUUUGGAUUCAUAAUAUACAUGUCUUUAAAAUUCUUGAUAUUAUAAUGUCCAGUUAGAAUUUUGUAUGUUUCAAUGAGAUCUCCCCUCUGUCUACGUUGUUCCAAUGUACUUAAUCCAAGUUCUGAAAGUCGUUCUUCAUAUGUCUUAUGUCUUAGUGAGGUCACCAUUUUUGUAGCUCUACGUUGUACUUUUUCCAGCAUUUCUAUGUCUUUCCUAAAGUAUGGACUCCAGAUUUGGAAAGCGUAUUCUAGUAGUGGACGGAUGUCAGUAAUAAAGAUUCCAAAUAGGAUUGGUCCGAGC
RNAcentral lists this unclassified non-coding RNA (548 nucleotides) under Melitaea cinxia (Glanville fritillary). RNAcentral describes it as "misc RNA ENSMCXG00005002088.1". The record is from RNAcentral. Lineage: Eukaryota; Metazoa; Arthropoda; Insecta; Lepidoptera; Nymphalidae.